Molecule: long non-coding RNA, 473 nt
Filed under: Malus domestica (apple)
Lineage: Eukaryota; Viridiplantae; Streptophyta; Magnoliopsida; Rosales; Rosaceae
Description: long non-coding RNA (MDOM_LNC004855)
Source: RNAcentral
CUCUCCCUCCACCAGUGCCGGUAUACAAGAAGCCGGUCCCUCCCCCCGUCCCGGUCUACAAGAAGCCUCACCCUCCGCCCGUCCCAAUCUACAAGAAACCUCUCCCUCCACCUGUCCCAGUCUAUAAGAAGCCUAACCCUCCACCAGUCCCAGUAUACAAGAAACCUUACCCUCCACCAACACCAAUCUACAAGAAACCUCUCCCUCCUCCCGUCCCAGUCUAUAAGAAGCCUAACCCUCCACCAGUCCCAGUAUACAAGAAACCUUGCCCUCCACCAAAACCAAUCUACAAGAAACCUCUCCCUCCACCUGUCCCAAUCUAUAAGAAGCCUCUUCCACCACCAGUUCCAGUAUACAAGAAGCCACUUCCACCACUAGUCCCCAUAUACAAGAAGCCAUUUCCACCACCAGUCCCAAUAUACACAAAGCCACUUCCACCACCAAUCCCAAUAUACAAGAAGCCACUUCCACCA